This 729-nucleotide long non-coding RNA is filed under the name Mytilus galloprovincialis (Mediterranean mussel). The record is from RNAcentral. Lineage: Eukaryota; Metazoa; Mollusca; Bivalvia; Mytilida; Mytilidae.
CCUGUAUCUUAGCCUCGUACACAUACAGCUGAUAUUUAAAGACACUAAACAGUUAUUGUCUAUAUGUUUUCUAUGUUUUAAAAAUUUAUGCAUACGGGUUCAUAAUUUUAUUCUCCUCAAAAACAUUUUUGUAAAAAAAAAUCAAUUGUGUGCAUUUUAACCAAAAACUGAAUAAUUCGCGUCUGAAACACAAAUUAAAACAAAGCUAUCAAAUCAAAUUGGAAUUAUGGGUAAUAUGAGAACACAACGGGUGCCACAUGUGGAACAGGAUAUGCUUACCCUUCCGGAACACUUGAGAUCACCCAAGUUUUUGGUGGGGUUUGUGUUGCUCAGUCCUUGUUUCCUAUGUUGUGUUCUGUGAACUAUUUUUUGUCUGUUUAUCUAUUUCUUUUUUUAUCCAUGGCGAUGUUAGUUUAUUUUCGAUUUGUGAGUUUGAAUGUCCCUCUAAUAUCUGCUAUCUUUUGAUGUUUGGCAGUAAUUACUGAAAAGCUGUAUGUUUAGUAAAACGGCGAAGACGGAAUCAUGUACUUUUCAAGUAAGUUACUCACGUGCAUGCGAUAACUUAACAAAGGUUAAGGGACUUUUAUUCUGAAAAUGAUCCUAGUAAGAUCAGUUUCACAUUUAACGGCGCAUAUCUAAUCUAAAAAUCCGAGCUAUUAAAUCACGCGAUAAUUCCCGAAAGUUCACUAAAUUGUUGAGGAUUACGAUUGAUAAGCAGUGACCAUGCAG